This 1090-nucleotide long non-coding RNA is filed under the name Salmo trutta (river trout). Its description in RNAcentral is "lncRNA (ENSSTUG00000016144.1)". Lineage: Eukaryota; Metazoa; Chordata; Actinopteri; Salmoniformes; Salmonidae. The record is from RNAcentral.
CCAAGGCGCAGCGUGUAAAGUGCUCAUAUAUUACUUUAAUGAAACACUAAAUCAAAACAACAAAACGACCGUCAACAGUUCCGUCAGGUUACAAGGAACAAAACAGAAAACAACUACCCACAAAACCCAAAGGAAAGACAGGCUGCCUAAGUAUGGUUCCUAAUCAGAGACAAGGAUAGACAGCUGCCUCUGGUUAGGAACCAUACUCGGCCCAACACAAAGAAAUUCAAAACAUAUAAUGCCCACCCCACACCCUGACCUAACCACAUAGAGAAACAAACCCUCUCUCUCAGGUCAGGGCGUAACAGCAUGACUGUGACGAUUACCAGGGAAGGGGCUGCGACAUGAUUGACACAUCCAGCGUCCACCGCCUUCCCUCCUCCAUGCUGCUCAAAGUAGGAUGUUACCAUUAGGGUGCAGUUUCUUUUUGGAGGCCUGAUUAGAUGCUUUCAAAAUCCUUUUAGUCUAAAAACACAAUUGAAAUGGGUUGGAUGUGGGUGGAUGCACAAUCUGUAAAUGUUAUUGUGUGUUCUGUUCCUCUCAGCUGUUCUCCCACUUGUCGGUGAAGGAGCGCUGUCUGUGUGCCUUGCUGGUCUGUAAGUACUGGCGGGGACCUCUGCUUAGACUUCCAGUUCUGGAAGCAAGUCGUUCUCAGUGGCCUACAAUGAGUAAAUGAUGACCUCCUGGUGAAGAUAGCAUCUCGGAAGCAGAAUGUGACGGAGUUGACCAUCUCAGACUGUUGUGGCGUGCAGGACCAAGGUGUACGUUCCUUGGCAACCCACUGCUCCAGCCUUCAGAGGUACACUGUAAACAGCUGAGUGACCUGUCUCUCAGCACCCUGGGCUCACACUGCCCUCUGCUGGCCAAGGUCCAUGUGGGCAACCAGGACAAUCUGACGGACGAAGCACUCAAAGUUGGGAGAGCACUGUUCAAAGCUGAAGGAUAUCCACCUGGGCCAGUGCUACAGUAUAACUGAUGAGGGGAUGGUGUCUCUGGCCAAGGGAUGUCCCAAGCUGCAGAGAAUCUACAUGCAGGAGAACAAAAUGGUGAGUUCCCUACCCAGAACUUAGGCGACAUCAGUGUUCAGUUG